GGGCGCGUAGUGGAGUGGUUACCACGUUGGUCUUCGAUUCAUGUGGCCGGGUUUGCCCCCUGCUUACGUAACCGAACCAAAGUUCGUCGGUUCGAUCCCGGCCGUGCUCA
Molecule: transfer RNA, 110 nt
Filed under: Rhizoctonia solani
Lineage: Eukaryota; Fungi; Basidiomycota; Agaricomycetes; Cantharellales; Ceratobasidiaceae
Description: tRNA-Arg
Rfam family: tRNA
About the family: Transfer RNA (tRNA) molecules are approximately 80 nucleotides in length. Their secondary structure includes four short double-helical elements and three loops (D, anti-codon, and T loops).
Source: RNAcentral